GGCAGAGUGGAGCAGUCGGAAGCUCGCAAGGUUCAUACCCUUGAGGUCACCGGUUCAAGUCCGGUCUCUGCAACCA
This 76-nucleotide transfer RNA is filed under the name Ruminococcus sp. RNAcentral's name for it is "tRNA-Met". It matches the Rfam family "tRNA". Rfam says of the family: Transfer RNA (tRNA) molecules are approximately 80 nucleotides in length. Their secondary structure includes four short double-helical elements and three loops (D, anti-codon, and T loops). Further hydrogen bonds mediate the characteristic L-shaped molecular structure. tRNAs have two regions of fundamental functional importance: the anti-codon, which is responsible for specific mRNA codon recognition, and the 3' end, to which the tRNAs corresponding amino acid is attached (by aminoacyl-tRNA synthetases). tRNAs cope with the degeneracy of the genetic code in two manners: having more than one tRNA (with a specific anti-codon) for a particular amino acid; and 'wobble' base-pairing, i.e. permitting non-standard base-pairing at the 3rd anti-codon position. Lineage: Bacteria; Bacillati; Bacillota; Clostridia; Eubacteriales; Oscillospiraceae. The record is from RNAcentral.